AAACCAUGAUGGGGACACUCUAAGAGAAGAUCCUUAAAACAUUCCAUACACCUAGAAAAUGAUUCAUUUGGUUUUUGAAGAAACUGGAGUAUGUCAUUCCUAAGUUU
Molecule: small nucleolar RNA, 107 nt
Filed under: Cephalotus follicularis
Lineage: Eukaryota; Viridiplantae; Streptophyta; Magnoliopsida; Oxalidales; Cephalotaceae
Description: Plant small nucleolar RNA R71
Rfam family: Plant small nucleolar RNA R71
About the family: R71 is a member of the C/D box family of snoRNAs containing the C (UGAUGA) and D (CUGA) box motifs. Multiple nearly identical copies of this snoRNA have been identified in Arabidopsis, and it is thought to function as a 2'-O-ribose methylation guide for 18S ribosomal RNA.
Source: Rfam by way of RNAcentral